UACGUAGGGAGCAAGCGUUAAUCGGAAUUACUGGGCGUAAAGCGUGCGCAGGCGGUUUUGUAAGCCAGAUGUGAAAUCCCCGGGCUUAACCUGGGAAUGGCAUUUGGGACUGCAAGGCUGGAGUGUGGCAGAGGAGACUGGAAUUCCUGGUGUAGCAGUGAAAUGCGUAGAUAUCAGGAGGAAUACCGAUGGCGAAGGCAGGUCUCUGGGCCGACACUGACGCUCAUGCACGAAAGCGUGGGGAGCAAACAGG
Molecule: ribosomal RNA, 253 nt
Filed under: uncultured bacterium
Lineage: Bacteria
Description: partial 16S ribosomal RNA
Rfam family: Bacterial small subunit ribosomal RNA
Source: RNAcentral